UGCGUACCUUUUGUAUAAUGGGUCAGCGACUUAUAUUCUGUAGCAAGGUUAACCGAAUAGGGGAGCCGAAGGGAAACCGAGUCUUAACUGGGCGUUAAGUUGCAGGGUAUAGACCCGAAACCCGGUGAUCUAGCCAUGGGCAGGUUGAAGGUUGGGUAACACUAACUGGAGGACCGAACCGACUAAUGUUGAAAAAUUAGCGGAUGACUUGUGGCUGGGGGUGAAAGGCCAAUCAAACCGGGAGAUAGCUGGUUCUCCCCGAAAGCUAUUUAGGUAGCGCCUCGUGAAUUCAUCUCCGGGGGUAGAGCACUGUUUCGGCAAGGGGGUCAUCCCGACUUACCAACCCGAUGCAAACUGCGAAUACCGGAGAAUGUUAUCACGGGAGACACACGGCGGGUGCUAACGUCCGUCGUGAAGAGGGAAACAACCCAGACCGCCAGCUAAGGUCCCAAAGUCAUGGUUAAGUGGGAAACGAUGUGGGAAGGCCCAGACAGCCAGGAUGUUGGCUUAGAAGCAGCCAUCAUUUAAAGAAAGCGUAAUAGCUCACUGGUCGAGUCGGCCUGCGCGGAAGAUGUAACGGGGCUAAACCAUGCACCGAAGCUGCGGCAGCGACACUAUGUGUUGUUGGGUAGGGGAG
Molecule: ribosomal RNA, 637 nt
Filed under: Escherichia coli
Lineage: Bacteria; Pseudomonadati; Pseudomonadota; Gammaproteobacteria; Enterobacterales; Enterobacteriaceae
Description: partial 23S ribosomal RNA
Rfam family: Bacterial large subunit ribosomal RNA
Source: RNAcentral